CUGGCAAUGAUAGAUAUCAGUUAUUGCAAAUUGGCAUCAGGAAUUAUUGGAGUCAACCAGCUUCCAAAGCUCAAGGAGAUCUCACUUGGUUCCUGUGGUCGAGUGGCGAAGCUUGCUCUGCUGCAAAGUGAAGUGGACGCACACCCCAACAGUCCCGUGCUGCGACUGUCCGAGGAACGGAGGAGCCACCACGACCUGGGGGGCAUCCUCGUCCAAUUGGGAGAAGCAACGGGGGAAUCCUCAUCUCUCCGUCCCGAGCCUGCAGCUGCAGGAGAGAGCUCACGGUCCCAAGCGGUGGGCAUGGCGACGGCAAACAUCAGCCAAGAUGAUCUGCUUUACACUUACAACUCGUGCUGACUGAAUCGGAGCAAGCCUCCUGCCAGCUCCAGCAUGUAACACUACUGGUACAGCUCAAAUAUUGCACUAUUUCCUUUUCUUGGUUUGGCUCGAUUUCUAGCUGCCUUGGUCUUUUCAGUUUGUGCUCACGCAUUUUAAAGCUGUGCAUGCUCAUAUAUAACGCAAGCAUGAUCUCAGUCACACUGUAUUCAGUUUGUGAACACAUAUAUUUUGCAUAUACCCCUGUUUGUAGCAAGACUUCCUUAAUUUUCUACCUGCUACAAGACGGGACCCAACUUCAAGAGAGGCCAGAUGCUUUCUCCAUACGGCCGAACAUCACGGUUGCAUUUCCUUCUAAAAAUCAGUAUGAGUACUGGAGCAAGCAACGGAGGGAUCAUCUCCACUUCCAUGGCCUACAGCAGCGGGAGAGAGCUCGUCGCAGUUGGACAUCCUCCUGUUGCGAACGAAGAGCAUUACGAGGGAUCUGAAGUGAAGAUGGAAACUGAGGGAUCCCUUUGGAGUUCGCAAUGGCUCGACAAUCCAUGCGGAUCUGAAGUGUGUCACCUAUGAAGGGAUCAUACUGAUAAAUGGGUAGAAGAAAAGGAAGAUUAGAGGGACUUAUAGUUGUAAUAUCCUACGCGAAGACGCCAGACGCCCCCGCUCCCCGCGUCGCCCCCGCUCGGGCGACUCGGACGGGAUCUAAAACCCUAGCCGCCGGGGGUCCCCAUCCGUCCUCCCCUCCCUCCGCCGCCGCCGAAGGACGCCACCGGCUAGAGCCCGGGGCUGAUGGCGGUGGCGGGGGUCUUCCCUCUUGCCUGCGCCGUGCGGGCGGUGUGGAGCCCCGCGGCGUGGGUGGCUCGACCGAUCUGGCCUGGCGGCGCGGCGGGCCUGCCUUCCGGCGGCGGCUGCCUCGGCCAAGGGCGGCGAUGGUAGGGUGUGGCAGUCGGCCUUUCCUCGGGCUGCGUGGCAGCGUUCGGCGGCGGCGGCCGGGUCUGCGGCGUCACAUCAUCUGACCUCGGAUCGGCGGUGGCGGCAUGGAGGACCUGGUGGUUGGGUCGGCACCAUGUGGGUUGUGCCCUCCGGACAGAUCUGAUCUGGCCGGUGCGGCCUGCUCCAUGUGCGGCGGCUUAGAUCGGUGGCGGUACUUCAUCCUUCACAUUGAUGACGGCGGAUCUCGGCGGCGUGGUGCAGUGGAGACUCGGCGCCCGAUGCGCGGUGGUGGACUCGCGCAGGUGGAGGUAGUUUUCUGGCGUCAGGGUGGCGUCGAUGGCGGAGUGGCCUGACAAGGUAGAAGCCUCAAUAUCUGCUCUGAAGACGAACCUGUGGAAGAUGGCGACGACGACACAUGUGAGUGCGUCAGACCAGUUUAUGCCCCAGACCCGGUAUAUGGCUCGGCUGUGGCUUCUGGCUUUUGAUAAUAGGCUUAGGUGAGUAGACCGGGUACGUGGCCCAGGUAGCACCCCUUCAUCAUAUGGAUAUGAGUAGUGGCAUAUGUUGCCAAGAUGGCGGAUUCAGGCAUAUUGUUGUAAUACUUUGUA
Non-coding RNA from Triticum urartu, 1874 nucleotides. Lineage: Eukaryota; Viridiplantae; Streptophyta; Magnoliopsida; Poales; Poaceae. The record is from RefSeq and is a predicted model, not a curated record.